RNAcentral lists this unclassified non-coding RNA (335 nucleotides) under soil metagenome. RNAcentral's name for it is "partial contains 5.8S ribosomal RNA, internal transcribed spacer 2, and large subunit ribosomal RNA". The stretch from base 1 to 120 matches the Rfam family "5.8S ribosomal RNA", at positions 35 to 154 of the family's 154-position model. The record is from RNAcentral.
GAUGAAGAACGUAGCGAAAUGCGAUAAGUAAUGUGAAUUGCAGAAUUCAGUGAAUCAUCGAAUCUUUGAACGCACAUUGCGCCCGCCAGUAUUCUGGCGGGCAUGCCUGUCCGAGCGUCAUUUCAACCAUCAAGCCCCGGGCUUGUGUUGGGGACCUGCGUCCGACGCAGGCCCUGAAAACCAGUGGCGGGCUCGCUGUCCACACCGAGUGCAGUAGAUUACUCUUCGCUCAGGGCGUGCAGCGGGUUCCGGCCGUGAAACCCCCUACUUUUAAAGGUUGACCUCGGAUCAGGUAGGAAUACCCGCUGAACUUAAGCAUAUCAAUAAGCGGAGGA